RNAcentral lists this ribosomal RNA (404 nucleotides) under uncultured bacterium. RNAcentral's name for it is "bacterial SSU rRNA". It matches the Rfam family "Bacterial small subunit ribosomal RNA", at positions 28 to 422 of the family's 1533-position model. The record is from RNAcentral.
GACGAACGCUGGCGGCGUGCCUAACACAUGCAAGUCAGGGAGAAAGAGGUAGCAAUAUCUCGAGUAAACCGGCGAACGGGUGAGUAACACGUAGGUAACCUGCCCUCGAGUUGGGAAUAACUUCGAGAAAUCGAGGCUAAUACCGGAUAAUGCAACGAACCCGCAUGGGUUUGUUGUUAAAGUUCCGCGCAAGCGGAACGCUUGAGGAUGGACCUGCGGCCGAUUAGCUAGUUGGCGGAGAACAGCCCACCAAGGCGACGAUCGGUAGCCGACCUGAGAGGGUGACCGGCCACACUGGGACUGAGAUACGGCCCAGACUCCUACGGGAGGCAGCAGUGAGGAAUAUUGGUCAAUGGCCGAAAGGCUGAACCAGCAACGCCGCGUGAGGGAUGAAGAUCUAAGGA